AACGAACGCUGGCGGCAUGCCUAACACAUGCAAGUCGAACGGGAUCCGGACUUCGGUCCGGUGAGAGUAGCGGACGGGUGAGUAACACGUGGGAACCUGCCUUUUGGUUCGGGAUAACCGCGGGAAACUGCGGCUAAUACCGGAUGCUCCCGAGAGGGAAAAGAUUUAUCGUCCAGAAGAGGGGCCCGCGUCCGAUUAGGUAGUUGGUGGGGUAAUGGCCUACCAAGCCGACGAUCGGUAGCUGGUCUGAGAGGAUGAUCAGCCACACUGGGACUGAGAUACGGCCCAGACUCCUACGGGAGGCAGCAGUGGGGAAUAUUGGACAAUGGGGGGCAACCCUGAUCCAGCAAUGCCGCGUGAGUGAUGAAGGCCUUAGGGUUGUAAAGCUCUUUUGCCAGGGAAGAUGAUGACUGUACCUGGAGAAUAAGCCCCGGCUAACUUCGUGCCAGCAGCCGCGGUAAU
Molecule: ribosomal RNA, 462 nt
Filed under: uncultured bacterium
Lineage: Bacteria
Description: bacterial SSU rRNA
Rfam family: Bacterial small subunit ribosomal RNA
Source: RNAcentral